RNAcentral lists this ribosomal RNA (1005 nucleotides) under uncultured bacterium. RNAcentral describes it as "bacterial SSU rRNA". It matches the Rfam family "Bacterial small subunit ribosomal RNA", at positions 50 to 1065 of the family's 1533-position model. The record is from RNAcentral.
UAGGCAUGCAAGUCGAGCGAUAUCUACCUUCGGGUAGUGAAAGCGGCGAACGGGUGAGUAACACGUGAACAACCUGCCCUCACAUUCCGGAUAAUAGACUGAAAAGUCUUGUAAUACGGGCGAGGAUUUUCUUUAGGCAUCUUUAGAAAAGGGAAGGCUGGGGAUUUAUCUCUGGUCGUGCGAGGAGGGGUUCGCGGAUUAUCAGAUAGUUGGUGGGGUAACGGCCUACCAAGUCUACGACGAUUAGCUGGUCUGAGAGGAUGGUCAGCCACACUGGGACUGAGACACUGCCCAGACUCCUACGGGAGGCUGCAGUCGAGAAUCUUGCACAAUGUACGAAAGUAUGAUGCAGCGACGCCGCGUGAAGGAUGAAGGCCCUUGGGUCGUAAACUUCUUUUAUCGGGGAAGAAUAAAUGACGGUACCCGAUGAAUAAGCCACGGCUAACUACGUGCCAGCAGCCGCGGUAAUACGUAGGUGGCAAGCGUUGUCCGGAUUUACUGGGCGUAAAGAGUAUGUAGGCGGAUGUUUAAGUAGAAAGUGAAAGGUUGGAGCUCAACUCCAACACUGCUUCCUAUACUGGAUAUCUUGAGUACUGGAGAGGAAAGCGGAACGACACGUGUAGCGGUGAAAUGCGUUGAUAUGUGUCGGAACACCAAUGGCGAAGGCAGCUUUCUGGACAGACACUGACGCUGAGAUACGAAAGCGUGGGUAGCGAACAGGAUUAGAUACCCUGGUAGUCCACGCCCUAAACGAUGUUCACUAGGUGUCGGGGGGUAACCUCCGGUGCCGCAGCUAACGCAUUAAGUGAACCGCCUGGGGACUACGGCCGCAAGGUUGAAACUCAAAGGAAUUGGCGGGGGACCGCACAAGCGGUGGAGCAUGUGGCUUAAUUCGAUGCAACGCGAAGAACCUUACCAGGGCUUGACAUGUAACUGCAAGCCGCCGAAAAGCGGUCGCCUUCGAGGGUGUUACACAGGUGGUGCAUGGCUGUCGUCAGCUCGUGU